RNAcentral lists this ribosomal RNA (140 nucleotides) under Boletus reticulatus. Its description in RNAcentral is "partial 28S ribosomal RNA". It matches the Rfam family "Eukaryotic large subunit ribosomal RNA", at positions 1 to 138 of the family's 3401-position model. Lineage: Eukaryota; Fungi; Basidiomycota; Agaricomycetes; Boletales; Boletaceae. The record is from RNAcentral.
UUGACCUCAAAUCAGGUAGGACUACCCGCUGAACUUAAGCAUAUCAAUAAGCGGAGGAAAAGAAACUAACAAGGAUUCCCCUAGUAACUGCGAGUGAAGCGGGAAAAGCUCAAAUUUUGAAUCUGGCGGUCUUUGCAGAC